This 21-nucleotide small nuclear RNA is filed under the name Arabidopsis thaliana (thale cress). RNAcentral's name for it is "snRNA_16635". The record is from RNAcentral. Lineage: Eukaryota; Viridiplantae; Streptophyta; Magnoliopsida; Brassicales; Brassicaceae.
CAUAGCGACGUUGCUUUUUGA